Molecule: ribosomal RNA, 477 nt
Filed under: uncultured bacterium
Lineage: Bacteria
Description: partial 16S ribosomal RNA
Rfam family: Bacterial small subunit ribosomal RNA
Source: RNAcentral
GAUAAACGCUGGCGGCGUGCAUAACACAUGCAAGUCGAACGAUGAAGAUUAAAAGAUUUCUUCGGAAUGAACUUAAUUGGAUUAGUGGCGGACGGGUGAGUAACGCGUGAGUAACCUGCCUUGUACAAGGGGAUAGCCGUUGGAAACGACGAAUAAUACCCUAUGACAUCAAAUAAUCGCAUGAUAAUUUGAUCAAAGAUUUAUCGGUAUAAGAUGGACUCGCGUCUGAUUAGCUAGUUGGUAGGGUAAAAGCCUACCAAGGCAACGAUCAGUAGCCGGCUUGAGAGAGUGUACGGCCACAUUGGGACUGAGACACGGCCCAGACUCCUACGGGAGGCAGCAGUGGGGAAUUUUGCACAAUGGGGGAAACCCUGAUGCAGCGACGCCGCGUGAUUUAGAAGGCCUUCGGGUUGUGAAAAUCUUUUGUAUGGGAAGAAAAUGACAGUACCAUACGAAUAAGGACCGGCUAAUUACGUG